GUACCUAACCAUUCAACAUUACAAGAGUCUCAUUCUAUUUCCGUACAACUUUGCAGAUCACUGGAUACUAAUUGUCAUAUUUCCGGACUUGAGCUUAGCAGUUGUUAUGGACUCUUUGCGGAGAGAUCCAGACCAAUACAAAGACAUGAGCGACAUGUUGAACAAGGUUUGGAAGAAAUUCGUUCGAAAGCAUAGUGGCAAUUUCAGCGCCGGACUAAAAUGGAAAAAAAACUUUCCGGUACGGAUGGGAUUCUACUUUAUUUGCAUGUUCCAU
This is a long non-coding RNA of Panicum virgatum (switchgrass), 274 nucleotides long. RefSeq lists it as uncharacterized. NCBI's taxonomy places the organism in Eukaryota, Viridiplantae, Streptophyta, Magnoliopsida, Poales, Poaceae. The transcript has 3 exons. The record is from RefSeq and is a predicted model, not a curated record.